Molecule: ribosomal RNA, 253 nt
Filed under: uncultured bacterium
Lineage: Bacteria
Description: partial 16S ribosomal RNA
Rfam family: Bacterial small subunit ribosomal RNA
Source: RNAcentral
UACGGAGGGUGCAAGCGUUAUCCGGAUUCACUGGGUUUAAAGGGUGCGUAGGUGGCUUUGUAAGUCAGUGGUGAAAUACCGCAGCUCAACUGCGGAACUGCCAUUGAUACUGCUUAGCUUGAAUCACGUCGAGGUGGAUGGAAUAAUACAUGUAGCGGUGAAAUGCUUAGAUAUGUAUUAGAACACCGAUUGCGAAGGCAGUUCACUAGGCGUGUAUUGACACUGAGGCACGAAAGCGUGGGGAUCAAACAGG